GCUCUUAGAAAUUGCAGAGUUUGCAGAUUUAGCACCUAUAUAAACCUCAAUAGAUCAGAAUUCUCUAACAGAAACCUUGAACCAUUUGAAAGCACCAGCUAAGUGUGAAAAAUGGAGUCUCCACGGUCUACAUUUACCUUGUUCCUUGUUUUUAUCUACUUUAUGCAAACACUCAGUCUCGGAAACGGCGAUCCGACAAGAGGAGAUGAAACAGCAUUGGAAUCCAACAAUCAGGAGAGAAGAACCCGCUCCGCUUUCACUGUCCAGUACAAUGUAAGGGUACACCCCCCUGCCAAUACGCCCAUCAAGUUUCCAAAGGUUAUCUACAAUGAGGAUGGGGACUAUGACUGUGAAACCGGCCUGUUUACCUGCAAGGCCCCGGGGCUGUAUUACUUCUCUUUCCAGAUGCAGAUAUAUCAUAAGAGGCUGUAUGUCAAACUGAAGCACAAUUCUUCAACCGUCCUUGAGUGGUUUGAUCAAUUUGAUGGCCAUGAUGAAGAUAUCGCCUCUGGGUCCUCACUUUUGAAGUUGAAAAGUGGAGACAUAGUUUAUCUAGAGUUGUUGCCAGACCACGAAGGGUUGUAUGGAAAUGCUGUCUUUAAUGGUUUUUUACUGUAUCCUGAUUAUAAACCACCUGAAAAAUCUUUAAAAGAAAGCAAGCUGUAGUAAAGCAUAGCUAAGUUGUCCGCUUCAAAAUGCUCAGCCUCGUUCAUCUGUUAGGAGCUGCUGCCAUUAUGUGGCCACUGAGAAAAGUGCAUGUUCAAAGACAAAUUUGUCCGCCAUCUUGUGGCCACUAAAGGAAUUGAAAGUCCAUAAUCGUAGGCAUUUCCCAGCACUGACUUCUUUCUCAGUGAUAAUAUUAGCAUAGUGUCACUUGUUUCUUUAUACUGCGUAUUAAUCCUUUUUUAUACUGUCCUAAUAAAAGCUUUUUGCAUUAA
Molecule: long non-coding RNA, 938 nt
Organism: Acipenser ruthenus (sterlet)
Lineage: Eukaryota; Metazoa; Chordata; Actinopteri; Acipenseriformes; Acipenseridae
Exons: 3
Source: RefSeq, a predicted model, not a curated record